GCUGGGCGUGUUGGCGCAUGCCUGUAAUCCCAAAUGCUCGGGAGGCUGAGGCUGGAAGAUGGAGAGGUCAAAGACAGCCUCAGU
This 84-nucleotide small RNA is filed under the name Marmota monax (woodchuck). The record is from RNAcentral. Lineage: Eukaryota; Metazoa; Chordata; Mammalia; Rodentia; Sciuridae.